GGUCCUAUAGCUCAGUUGGUUAGAGCACCUGACUCAUAAUCAGGGGGUCCCAGGUUCAAGCCCUGGUGGGACCACGA
RNAcentral lists this transfer RNA (77 nucleotides) under Chitinophaga caeni. RNAcentral's name for it is "tRNA-Met". It matches the Rfam family "tRNA". From Rfam's summary of the family: Transfer RNA (tRNA) molecules are approximately 80 nucleotides in length. Their secondary structure includes four short double-helical elements and three loops (D, anti-codon, and T loops). Further hydrogen bonds mediate the characteristic L-shaped molecular structure. tRNAs have two regions of fundamental functional importance: the anti-codon, which is responsible for specific mRNA codon recognition, and the 3' end, to which the tRNAs corresponding amino acid is attached (by aminoacyl-tRNA synthetases). tRNAs cope with the degeneracy of the genetic code in two manners: having more than one tRNA (with a specific anti-codon) for a particular amino acid; and 'wobble' base-pairing, i.e. permitting non-standard base-pairing at the 3rd anti-codon position. Lineage: Bacteria; Pseudomonadati; Bacteroidota; Chitinophagia; Chitinophagales; Chitinophagaceae. RNAcentral also lists the same sequence under 1 other name. The record is from RNAcentral.